This 381-nucleotide ribosomal RNA is filed under the name uncultured marine Chaetocerotaceae. RNAcentral's name for it is "SSU rRNA". It matches the Rfam family "Eukaryotic small subunit ribosomal RNA", at positions 587 to 972 of the family's 1831-position model. The record is from RNAcentral. Lineage: Eukaryota; Bacillariophyta; Thalassiosirophyceae; Chaetocerotales; Chaetocerotaceae.
AGCUCCAAUAGCGUAUAUUAAAGUUGCUGCAGUUAAAAAGCUCGUAGUUGCAUUUCCGAGGCAAGGGAUUAGUCCGACCUUUGGUGGGUAUUUAAUCCUCUUGCCUCGUCCUUGAGUGGUGCUUCUUGGUAUUAAGUUAUCGAGGAGAUAGCCGCUCAUCGUUUACUGUGAGAAAAUUAGAGUGUUCAAAGCAGGCUUAUGCCGUUGAAUAUAUUAGCAUGGAAUAAUAAGAUAGGACCUCGGUACUAUUUUGUUGGUUUGAGAACCAAGGUAAUGAUGAAUAGGGACAGUUGGGGGUAUUCGUAUUCAGUUGUCAGAGGUGAAAUUCUUAGAUUUGCUGAAGACGAACUACUGCGAAAGCAUUUACCAAGGAUGUUUUCA